GGGGAAUAUUGGACAAUGGGCGCAAGCCUGAUCCAGCCAUGCCGCGUGAGUGAUGACGGCCCUAGGGUUGUAAAGCUCUUUCAGUGGGGAAGAUAAUGACGGUACCCACAGAAGAAGCCCGGCUAACUUCGUGCCAGCAGCCGCGGUAAUACGAAGGGGGCUAGCGUUGUUCGGAAUUACUGGGCGUAAAGCGCACGUAGGCGGAUCGGUCAGUUAGGGGUGAAAUCCCAGGGCUCAACCCUGGAACUGCCUUUAAUACUGCUGGUCUAGAGUUCGAGAGAGGUGAGUGGAAUUCCGAGUGUAGAGGUGAAAUUCGUAGAUAUUCGGAGGAACACCAGUGGCGAAGGCGGCUCACUGGCUCGAUACUGACGCUGAGGUGCGAAAGCGUGGGGAGCAAAC
Molecule: ribosomal RNA, 399 nt
Filed under: uncultured bacterium
Lineage: Bacteria
Description: bacterial SSU rRNA
Rfam family: Bacterial small subunit ribosomal RNA
Source: RNAcentral